Molecule: ribosomal RNA, 505 nt
Filed under: uncultured archaeon
Lineage: Archaea
Description: bacterial SSU rRNA
Rfam family: Archaeal small subunit ribosomal RNA
Source: RNAcentral
ACAAUGCGCGAAAGCGUGAUGGGGUUAGCCCGAGUGCCGUCCGAAAAGGAUGGCUUUUCCUUGGUGUAAAAACCCAAGGGAAUAAAGGGGGGGCAAGACUGGUGUCAGCCGCCGCGGUAAUACCAGCCCCCUGAGUGGUAAGGACGAUUAUUUGGCUUAAAGCGUCCGUAGCCGGCUUAGUGAGUCUUUUGUUAAAUCCAAUGAUUCAAUCAUUGAACUGCAAGAGAUACUGCUACGCUAGAGGACGGGAGAGGUCGACGGUAGUCCAGGGGUAGGGGUGAAAUCCUAUAAUCCUUGGAGGACCACCAGUGGCGAAGGCGGUCGACUAGAACGUGCCUGACGGUGAGGGACGAAAGCUGGGGGAGCGAACCGGAUUAGAUACCCGGGUAGUCCCAGCUGUAAACGAUGCGGGCUAGGUGUAGGGGCAGCUACGAGCUGCUCCUGUGCCGCAGAGAAAUUGUUAAGCCCGCCGCCUGGGGAGUACGAUCGCAAGAUUGAAACUUAA